Molecule: long non-coding RNA, 697 nt
Filed under: Ananas comosus (pineapple)
Lineage: Eukaryota; Viridiplantae; Streptophyta; Magnoliopsida; Poales; Bromeliaceae
Description: long non-coding RNA (ACOM_LNC010661)
Source: RNAcentral
UAAAAUUUGAAUAAAACUUUAUAUAAAUUAAAAUUUAAUUUAAAUUCAAAUUCAUAAGUUAAAUUCGAAAUACUUGAUUAAAUUUUAAUUUUUAAUUUAAGUUCAAAUUAAAAUUUAAAAUUAUAUAUUUAAAUUUUAAAUUUUAACUCAUAUUUUAAUUUAAAAAGUUGAAAAAAUAAAUUUAAUCUGAAUAAAUAUUCAUUCCGUCCGGAUUCAACUUCCAAUCCGGCCUUCUAGGCCGGAUUGAAAAAAGAGGUGAUUAGGGGAUUCCCAGUCCACUCGGGAAUCGGAAUGGGAAUGAGACUCCUGCAUACCAAACACCCACAAACGGAUUCACCCAUUCCGAUUCCGAUUCCAGAGUAAAAUAGAAGCGAACCAAACACGCCCAUAGAGUUGGGCUGGAAUAUUAUUGAUAGCAAAAGAUUCUUUUUGCUAUCAAGUUUUUAAUCCUUGGAUAAAAAAUUGUAAGAUUAAGAUGAUAUUAGUCCCUUAGUAUUGAAUAGUCCCCCUAGGAAUGAAUAGUCCCCACUGGGUUAUAAUAUUUAAUUCAAUGGUUAAAAAUGAUGAAAGAAAUUAAUCCAAAGGCUAAAAACAUGAUAGCAAAAAGGGUCUUUUGCUAUCAAUAGUAUUCUAGCCCAACUCUCUCUCUCUCUCUCUCUCUCUCUCUCUCUCUCUCUCUCUCUCUCUAUAUAUAUAU